CUUCAAAACUGUCACUCCCCCGUCUAAUUUUAAGUGCAACCAUGAGUUUCUGUGUACAACUUUGAUUAUCCGUCUUAUUUGAAUUUUUCUUAUGAUUAGUAUUUUUAUUGUUAUAAGAUGAUAAAACAUAAAUAAUAAUUUAUGCGUGACUUAUGUUCUCAAAUUUUUUUAAAUAAGACGGAUGGUUAAAAUUGGGCACGGAAAAUUAUGGCUGCAUUUAUAAUAGGACGGAGGACUACAACUGAAGAAU
This 250-nucleotide unclassified non-coding RNA is filed under the name Oryza sativa (Asian cultivated rice). Its description in RNAcentral is "partial microRNA MIR438f-3 precursor". The stretch from base 29 to 222 matches the Rfam family "MIR812 microRNA precursor family". The record is from RNAcentral. Lineage: Eukaryota; Viridiplantae; Streptophyta; Magnoliopsida; Poales; Poaceae.